Molecule: ribosomal RNA, 497 nt
Filed under: uncultured bacterium
Lineage: Bacteria
Description: partial 16S ribosomal RNA
Rfam family: Bacterial small subunit ribosomal RNA
Source: RNAcentral
GACGAACGCUGGCGGCGUGCCUAAUACAUGCAAGUUGAGCGCUGAAGGUUGGUCCUUGUACCAACUGGAUGAGCAGCGAACGGGUGAGUAACGCGUGGGGAAUCUGCCUUUGAGCGGGGGACAACAUUUGGAAACGAAUGCUAAUACCGCAUAAAAACUUUAAACACAAGUUUUAAGUUUGAAAGAUGCAAUUGCAUCACUUAAAGAUGAUCCCGCGUUGUAUUAGCUAGUUGGUGAGGUAAAGGCUCACCAAGGCGAUGAUACAUAGCCGACCUGAGAGGGUGAUCGGCCACAUUGGGACUGAGACACGGCCCAAACUCCUACGGGAGGCAGCAGUAGGGAAUCUUCGGCAAUGGACGAAAGUCUGACCGAGCAACGCCGCGUGAGUGAAGAAGGUUGUCGGAUCGUAAAACUCUGUUGGUAGAGAAGAACGUUGGUGAGAGUGGAAAGCUCAUCAAGUGACGGUAACUACCCAGAAAGGGACGGCUAACUACGUG